CUUACCUUUACCUGUUAAUGGGAAACAGGGCCAAUGAUACAGAAAAAACUACACUUCCCAUGAUACCCCAGAAAAGGAAGGAAGUGAGACUAGACACUUCCCGUCAUUGCUUAUAGACCGGAAGUCAGGAACUUAGUUCUCUUUCCCAUCUUGCAAGGUAAGAAUGGCGGGCCUCUGUACGAUACUCGCUUCCAGGACCCCAAUCCUUCGUCAUCCGAAGUUAGAGGACUUUAAGUCGACACCUACAGGGGUUGGACAUCCCCAGGGUUAUCUGAGAGGCCUCCUGGACGCCUCAUUUCUUUCGUCUGGGUUGACGACGGGGAGCAAAGAGGAUGGCGGGCGAAAAAACUGAGAAGCCAGAUGCUAAAGAGAAGAAACCCGAAGCCAAGAAGGCUGUUGCCGCUGGCACUGCUAAAAAAGCAAAUGUGAAAAAGGCUAAAAAAUCCAAGAAGGGACAG
Molecule: long non-coding RNA, 458 nt
Filed under: Chinchilla lanigera (long-tailed chinchilla)
Lineage: Eukaryota; Metazoa; Chordata; Mammalia; Rodentia; Chinchillidae
Description: lncRNA (ENSCLAG00000026666.1)
Source: RNAcentral